This 369-nucleotide ribosomal RNA is filed under the name uncultured bacterium. RNAcentral describes it as "bacterial SSU rRNA". It matches the Rfam family "Bacterial small subunit ribosomal RNA", at positions 28 to 393 of the family's 1533-position model. The record is from RNAcentral.
GAUGAACGCUAGCGGCAGGCUUAAUACAUGCAAGUCGUGGGGCAGCAUGAGUAGCAAUACUUGAUGGCGACCGGCAAACGGGUGAGGAACACGUACACAACCUUCCUUCAAGCGGGGAAUAGCCCAGAGAAAUUUGGAUUAAUACCCCAUAAUAUAUUUGAUAAGGCAUCUUAUUAAUAUUAAAGCUUCGGCACUUGAUGAUGGGUGUGCGGCUGAUUAGAUAGUUGGCGGGGUAACGGCCCGACCAAGUCUACGAUCAGUAGCUGAUGUGAGAGCAUGAUCAGCCACACGGGCACUGAGACACGGGCCCGACUCCUACGGGAGGCAGCAGUAAGGAAUAUUGGACAAUGGACGAAGUCUGAUCCAGCC